ACGAACGCUGGCGGCGUGCUUAACACAUGCAAGUCGAACGAUGAAGCCUUUCGGGGUGGAUUAGUGGCGAACGGGUGAGUAACACGUGGGCAAUCUGCCCUUCACUCUGGGACAAGCCCUGGAAACGGGGUCUAAUACCGGAUAACACUCUGUCCCGCAUGGGACGGGGUUAAAAGCUCCGGCGGUGAAGGAUGAGCCCGCGGCCUAUCAGCUUGUUGGUGGGGUGAUGGCCUACCAAGGCGACGACGGGUAGCCG
This 256-nucleotide ribosomal RNA is filed under the name Streptomyces sp. ISO237_OTU243. RNAcentral describes it as "partial 16S ribosomal RNA". It matches the Rfam family "Bacterial small subunit ribosomal RNA", at positions 29 to 289 of the family's 1533-position model. Lineage: Bacteria; Bacillati; Actinomycetota; Actinomycetes; Kitasatosporales; Streptomycetaceae. RNAcentral also lists the same sequence under 9 other names. The record is from RNAcentral.